This 107-nucleotide transfer RNA is filed under the name Aspergillus terreus NIH2624. RNAcentral describes it as "tRNA ATEG_10538". It matches the Rfam family "tRNA". Rfam says of the family: Transfer RNA (tRNA) molecules are approximately 80 nucleotides in length. Their secondary structure includes four short double-helical elements and three loops (D, anti-codon, and T loops). Lineage: Eukaryota; Fungi; Ascomycota; Eurotiomycetes; Eurotiales; Aspergillaceae. The record is from Rfam by way of RNAcentral.
GUCUCCAUAGUCUAGUGGUUAGGACGGCGGUCUCAUAGGACUCUAUGACAAUUUCCAUCCAAAGAAAUUGAAAUCCGCAAGCACGAGUUCGAUUCUCGUUGGAGGCA